Molecule: ribosomal RNA, 481 nt
Filed under: uncultured bacterium
Lineage: Bacteria
Description: bacterial SSU rRNA
Rfam family: Bacterial small subunit ribosomal RNA
Source: RNAcentral
UUCACUGAAUGGUAGGAAGGCGGCGUGUCAGAUUGGGACGUCGCGUUUCUACUGUUGAGUGAAUAGAGUGUCUUAGUGGCGGACGGGCGAGUAACGCGUGAGUAACCUGCCAUACAUGGGGGAAUAACACACCGAAAGGUGUGCUAAUACGCAUGAUGUAUCGAGAUCGCAUGGUCUUGAUACCAAAGAUUUAUCGCUGUAUGGAUGGGCUCGCGUCUGAUUAGAUAGUUGGUGAGGUAACGGCUCACCAAGUCGACGAUCAGUAGCCGGACUGAGAGGUUGAACGGCCACAUUGGGACUGAGACACGGCCCAGACUCCUACGGGAGGCAGCAGUGGGGGAUAUUGCACAAUGGGCGCAAGCCUGAUGCCAGCGACGCCGCGUGAGGGAAGACGGUCUUCGGAUUGUAAACCUCUGUCAUCGGGGACGAUAAUGACGGUACCCGAUGAGGAAGCUCCGGCUAACUACGUGCCAGCAGCGGC